UACGUAGGAGGCAAGCGUUGUCCGGAAUUACUGGGUGUAAGGCGCGUGUAGGCGGCAGGCCAAGCCUGUGGUGAAAUCGCUCGGCUCAACUGGGCGGGGUCCAUGGAAACUGGUCAGCUGGAGGACGGUAGAGGUGAGUGGAAUUCCCGGUGUAGUGGUGAAAUGCGUAGAGAUCGGGAGGAACACCCGUGGCGAAGGCGGCUCACUGGGCCGGUCCUGACGCUGAGACGCGAAGGCGUGGGGAGCGAACGGG
This 253-nucleotide ribosomal RNA is filed under the name uncultured bacterium. Its description in RNAcentral is "partial 16S ribosomal RNA". It matches the Rfam family "Bacterial small subunit ribosomal RNA", at positions 524 to 776 of the family's 1533-position model. The record is from RNAcentral.